Molecule: ribosomal RNA, 498 nt
Filed under: uncultured bacterium
Lineage: Bacteria
Description: partial 16S ribosomal RNA
Rfam family: Bacterial small subunit ribosomal RNA
Source: RNAcentral
AUUGAACGCUGGCGGCAUGCCUUACACAUGCAAGUCGAACGGUAACAGGUCUUCGGAUGCUGACGGGUGGCGAACGGGUGAGUAAUACAUCGGAACGUGCCCGAUCGUGGGGGAUAACGAAGCGAAAGCUUUGCUAAUACCGCAUAAGAUCUAAGGAUGAGAGCAGGGGACCGCAAGGCCUUGCGCGAACGGAGCGGCCGAUGGCAGAUUAGGUAGGUGGUGGGAUAAAAGCUUACCAAGCCGACGAUCUGUAGCUGGUCUGUGAGGACGACCAGCCACACUGGGACUGAGACACGGCCCAGACUCCUACGGGAGGCAGCAGUGGGGAAUUUUGGACAAUGGGCGAAAGCCUGAUCCAGCCAUGCCGCGUGCAGGAUGAAGGCCUUCGGGUUGUAAACUGCUUUUGUACGGAACGAAAAGACUCUUUCUAAUAAAGAGGGUCCAUGACGGUACCGUAAGAAUAAGCACCGGCUAACUACGUGCCAGCCGCCGCAGUAA